RNAcentral lists this ribosomal RNA (527 nucleotides) under Xystonyttus sp. 00005057. Its description in RNAcentral is "partial 16S ribosomal RNA". It matches the Rfam family "Bacterial large subunit ribosomal RNA", at positions 1808 to 2609 of the family's 2925-position model. Lineage: Eukaryota; Metazoa; Arthropoda; Insecta; Hemiptera; Reduviidae. The record is from RNAcentral.
CAAAAACAUGGCCUUUUGUAUAUAAAUAUAAGGUCUGACCUGCCCAAUGAUUUAUUUAAUGGCCGCGGUAUAUUAACUGUGCUAAGGUAGCAUAAUCACUUGUCUUUUAAUUAAAGGCUAGAAUGAAUGGUUGGACGAGACAUGAGCUUUCUUUGAUUUAGUUAAUGAAAUUAAUUUUUUAGUUAAAAAGCUAAAAUUUAUUUGAGGGACGAGAAGACCCUAUAGAUCUUUAUAAUUUAAGAUUUUAUAUUUUAUAGUUUAUAAUUUUUUAUAAUAAAUUAACUUAUUUAGUUGGGGUGACUUUAGAAUAAAAAUAACUUCUAUUUUAAUAUUCAUUAAUUAAUGUAUUCAUGAUCCAAAAUUUUUGAUUAAAAGAAUAAGUUACCUUAGGGAUAACAGCGUAAUUUCUUUGGAGAGCUCAAAUCGAUGAAGGAGUUUGCGACCUCGAUGUUGGAUUAAAAUAAGUUUUAGGUGCAGGAGCUUAAAAACUAGGUCUGUUCGACCUUUAAUUUUUUACAUGAUCUGAG